RNAcentral lists this long non-coding RNA (985 nucleotides) under Nicotiana tabacum (common tobacco). RNAcentral describes it as "long non-coding RNA (NTAB_LNC002455)". Lineage: Eukaryota; Viridiplantae; Streptophyta; Magnoliopsida; Solanales; Solanaceae. The record is from RNAcentral.
UAAACUGAAUUUUCCUUUCAGUCAGCAUUAGGGUUUUAAACCCUAAACUGAACUUUUUUCCAUUCCGCCAGCAUUAGGGUUUUAAACCCUAAACUGAGCUUUUCCAUGCAGUCAGCAUUAGGCUUUUAAACCCUAAACUGAAUUUUCCUUUCAGUCAGCAUUAGGGUUUUAAACCCUAAACUGAACUUUUUUCAUUCAGCCAGCAUUAGGGUUUUAAACCCUAAACUGAGCUUUUCCAUGCAAUCAGCAUUAGGGUUUUAAACCCUAAACUGAAUUUUUCCUUUAGUCAGCAUUAGGGUUUUAAACCCUAAACUGAACUUUUUUCCUUUCAGCCAGCAUUAGGGUUUUAAACCCUAAACUGAGCUUUUCCAUGCAAUCAACAUUGGGGUUUUAAACCCUAAACUGAAUUUUUCCUUUAGUCAGCAUUAGGGUUUUAAACCCUAAACUGAACUUUUUUCCAUUCCGCCAGCAUUAGGGUUUUAAACCCUAAACUGAGCUUUUCAAUGCAGUCAGCAUUAGGGUUUUAAACCCUAAACUGAAUUUUCCUUUUAGUCAGCAUUAGGGUUUUAAACCCUAAAUUGAACUUUUUCCCAUUCCGCCAGCAUUAGGGUUUUAAACCCUAAACUGAGCUUUUCAAUGCAGUCAGCAUUAGGGUUUUAAACCCUAAACUGAAUUUUCCUUUCAGUCAGCAUUAGGGUUUUAAACCCUAAACUGAACUUUUUUCCAUUCCGCCAGCAUUAGGGUUUUAAACCCUAAACUGAGCUUUUCAAUGCAGUCAGCAUUAGGGUUUUAAACCCUAAACUGAAUUUUCCUUUCAGUCAGCAUUAGGGUUUUAAACCCUAAACUGAGCUUUUCAAUGCAGUCAGCAUUAGGGUUUUAAACCCUAAACUGAAUUUUCCUUUUAGUCAGCAUUAGGGUUUUAAACCCUAAACUGAAUUUUUCCUUUAGUCAGCAUUAGGGUUUUAAACCCUAAACUGAACUUUUC